CCUACGGGAGGCACCAGUGGGGAAUAUUGCACAAUGGGCGCAAGCCUGAUGCAGCCAAGCCGCGUGUAUGAAGAAGGCCUUCGGGUUGUAAAGUACUUUCAGCGAGGAGGAAGGCGUUAAGGUCAAUAACCUUGGCGAUUGACGUUACUCGCAGAAGAAGCACCGGCUAACUCCGUGCCAGCAGCCGCGGUAAUACGGAGGGUGCGAGCGUUAAUCGGAAUUACUGGGCGUAAAGCGCACGCAGGCGGUCUGUCAAGUCGGAUGUGAAAUCCCCGGGCUCAAACUGGGAACUGCAUUCGAAACUGGUAGGCUAGAGUCUUGUAGAGGGGGGUAGAAUUCCAGGUGUAGCGGUGAAAUGCGUAGAGAUCUGGAGGAAUACCGGUGGCGAAGGCGGCCCCCUGGACAAAGACUGACGCUCAGGUGCGAAAGCGUGGGGAGCAAACAGGAUUAGAUACCCCGGUAGUC
Molecule: ribosomal RNA, 465 nt
Filed under: uncultured bacterium
Lineage: Bacteria
Description: bacterial SSU rRNA
Rfam family: Bacterial small subunit ribosomal RNA
Source: RNAcentral